This 576-nucleotide ribosomal RNA is filed under the name Stumpffia sorata. RNAcentral describes it as "partial 12S ribosomal RNA". The stretch from base 1 to 471 matches the Rfam family "Bacterial small subunit ribosomal RNA", at positions 786 to 1533 of the family's 1533-position model. The record is from RNAcentral. Lineage: Eukaryota; Metazoa; Chordata; Amphibia; Anura; Microhylidae.
CCCACUAUGCUCAAUCGUAAAAUAUCUACUCACACCCACAUCGCCAGGGAACUACGAGCCCCUUAAAACCCAAAGGACUUGACGGUGUCCCACCCACCUAGAGGAGCCUGUUCUAUAAUCGACACUCCACGAUAUACCUUACCACUCCUAGCACACUCAGUUUGUAUACCUCCGUCGCAAGCUUACCAUGUGAAUGUCACUAGUGAGCUAAAAGAUCUUCCACCCAUACGUCAGGUCAAGGUGCAACUAACGGAGUGGGUAGCAAUGGGCUACAAUUUCUAUAAUAGAACAUACGAAAACUAUAUGAAACACACCACGAAGGCGGAUUUAGAAGUAAAAAGAAAUCAAAAAAUUCUUUUUAACUAGGCCCUGGGACGCGUACACACUGCCCGUCACCCUCCUCAACCCCACAGAAGAGGCAAGUCGUAACAUGGUAAGUGUACUGGAAAGUGCACUUGGACAUCAAAAUGUAACUUAACAAAAGCAUUUCGCUUACACCGAAAUAGAUGUUAAUUAACUUUAACCAUUUUGAGCCUAAACCUAAGCCCCCCCCCGCUUCUGAUAAAUAAUAAAACA